Molecule: long non-coding RNA, 622 nt
Filed under: Marmota monax (woodchuck)
Lineage: Eukaryota; Metazoa; Chordata; Mammalia; Rodentia; Sciuridae
Source: RNAcentral
GGGAGUGGCCCCUUUAAGAGGUGGGGCCUGAGGGAGGCCCCACCCCCAGAGGCAUCUGAGCCCACACUGUGAAAGGGCAGCCAGCAGGGAGGCCUCCUCCAGCCUCCAGCCUGGCCCCUGCUGCUCCAGCCAGUUUCCUCUGCUUCUCUGCCUGUGGUGAGGCUGGCACUCAAAGCUCUUGACCUUUAAACUAGUGCAGUGUUCUGGCUCCGCCGCUGCUUUCUCCUGCAUUAGUUGGACUGUGUUUUGAAGGAGAGGCUCCCUGAAUCCGCCACUGGUUUCAAGUCCAGGAGGGGAGGGAGGACCCACUGGCUCUCCCCUCGGGUCUCUGGUUUUCCAGAACAGGAACUUGUUCUCUGCCACCCUCCAAAGCAAGCCCUCUUCGGGGAUGAUGGCAUGAUAUCAUGGAUGCACACACUUGCUGGUGGGUUUUGGUCCUUUGCAGUUAUUGUCAUUUUGAAGCUCAUUGUCCCAUCUUUAGUCAGGGGACAGCAUUUCACGAAGGUUGCUGGGUUCUUAGGACAUGACCCGAGAACUUCCUUUCUAGCUAGUAUUAAAAGAAACUUCAGGUCAUCUGCAUGCUUUCUGCCCCAGACCUGGAGUCAUUUCUGUAAAAAAACAC